CACGUAGGCGGAUUGGAAAGUUGGGGUGAAAUCCCGGGGCUCAACCCCGGAACUGCCUUCAAAACUCCCAGUCUUGAGUUCGAGAGAGGUGAGUGGAAUUCCGAGUGUAGAGGUGAAAUUCGUAGAUAUUCGGAGGAACACCAGUGGCGAAGGCGGCUCACUGGCUCGAUACUGACGCUGAGGUGCGAAAGCGUGGGGAGCAAAUA
This 206-nucleotide ribosomal RNA is filed under the name uncultured bacterium. Its description in RNAcentral is "partial 16S ribosomal RNA". It matches the Rfam family "Bacterial small subunit ribosomal RNA", at positions 568 to 774 of the family's 1533-position model. The record is from RNAcentral.